AAAACUCAACACUCGUCAUCCAAUUUGUUGAAUAUUGUUUGAAAUUUAGUCGAUUUUCAAAAGUAGGUAUAUUUUUGGUCAUUUUCUUUAAUGCCUGUCGAUGUUAGACAUUUUAAAAAUUGGCAUAAAUUGGCUGAAAAUUGAGUUAUUCUGAAAUUUAGAAAAAUCCUGUAACAUAUAAUACGUCUCUAUAAGAACAACACACGAUGUAAUUUUUAAGCUUCAAAUUUUCUCUUGAAUGUAUGAACUCCGCGAGGAGAUUGAUUAAAAAAUACACUUUAUAUGCAGUAAAGAAAGUGUAUGUAUACGACAAAUGUUUUCUGGUGACUGAUAAAUGCAAAUGAUAUCCGGUUCCUUCGGUGGAAAUAAUACGUUGCUCACACGUAUCAGAAUCGAUAUCCAUCAAAUAACACGG
This 415-nucleotide long non-coding RNA is filed under the name Mytilus galloprovincialis (Mediterranean mussel). The record is from RNAcentral. Lineage: Eukaryota; Metazoa; Mollusca; Bivalvia; Mytilida; Mytilidae.